Molecule: unclassified non-coding RNA, 316 nt
Filed under: Hevea brasiliensis (rubber tree)
Lineage: Eukaryota; Viridiplantae; Streptophyta; Magnoliopsida; Malpighiales; Euphorbiaceae
Source: RNAcentral
GUCAUUAGUCCAAGAAUCAAAUCCAAACCCAAGAAUUACAUUAGAAACUCUAUAGCUAAAUCGCUGAAGGGGAAGGGUUACAGAUAACCCUAUUGAAGGAUUCCAUAGAACUAUGCGUUUCAAUAUGUGUGAAUGAUUAUCAGUUAAGCAGACAAUUCCAUUGCAAGAACCAACAAUCUCAAAAUAAUCCCAGCUACUAUUCAAUGGAAAAUCAAGUUCUUGAUACUUACCGAACAAAUCAUCAUCAUCCAAGUGUAAGGUGAAUCUUUCUUUCUUGUCAACUCUGGAAUAGUGCCUCAGGAGCAGGUAAUCUCUG